This 99-nucleotide microRNA precursor is filed under the name Erinaceus europaeus (western European hedgehog). RNAcentral describes it as "mir-342 microRNA precursor family". It matches the Rfam family "mir-342 microRNA precursor family". The record is from Rfam by way of RNAcentral. Lineage: Eukaryota; Metazoa; Chordata; Mammalia; Eulipotyphla; Erinaceidae.
AGAACCGGGCUCCAGGUGAGAGGUGCCAUCUGUGUCUGAGGGGCAUGGCAAAUGGAACUGUCUCACACAGAAAUCGCACCCGUCACCUUGGGCCGCCUC